CUGUUUGACCUCGGAUCAGGUAGGGAUACCCGCUGAACUUAA
This 42-nucleotide ribosomal RNA is filed under the name fungal sp. LSVM948. RNAcentral describes it as "partial 28S ribosomal RNA". Lineage: Eukaryota; Fungi. The record is from RNAcentral.